Vidua macroura (Pin-tailed whydah) is the source of this 1279-nucleotide long non-coding RNA. RefSeq lists it as uncharacterized. The record is from RefSeq and is a predicted model, not a curated record. NCBI's taxonomy places the organism in Eukaryota, Metazoa, Chordata, Aves, Passeriformes, Viduidae. The transcript has 4 exons.
UAAUCAGUCUGAUAUUUUUGAUUGAAAGGACUGUCAUUACUUGUAUCUGAAUAAUUGAUGUGUUCAUAUCUCCAAAUCUCAAUAGCUGGUGAGUUUAGCUUUGAACAAUUAAUUCUGGGGACAACAAGUUCAGAAAGAAAUGCAAACAAACACAAUAUUUACACAGAAUUGCUAAGGGUCUUUUUAAAAAUUUCUGUUUAAUUUCAAAGAAAGUAUAUCUAAAAAUGAAAUGCCUAUGGAAUAUUUCCUCCAAUAUAAUCUUACUAAAAAGCCUUACCAGCAAUAUUUUAAGGAGGCAUUGUUGAAUAGGUCUGCAGCAGCUUCUUAUGAGCCUGUGAAUUUCUAAUGUACUUGGGAAGAUCAUCCUUCCACAAACAGCCCAUUGGAGUUGAGCCUAAGGUUCAUCCAGGGUUCAGAUGCUUCAUUACCACCAGGCAGGAAAUGAGCAGGUUCUGGGCAAGAUGACUUUGUAGGCCCUGAUCUUAGAAAAGUUGGAUGGGAGGAAGAAGCAUGAAUCUCAAGGAAUAUGUAGUAAGCGAGAGAUUCAUAGCAGAAAAAACUUCACAUGAGACCAAGACAAAUUUGACCUAAAUGUUGUUUUCUUCCUUGUCCUGUAAAAUAUUUUGAAAAUAUAUUUACAGAUUUAUAUGCAGGAAUAAUUUUAUUUAGGAAUAACUUCUUUUUUUCUGUAAGAAUCCAUGUGAGUUCACAAUGAUCACUUGUUCGAGUACAAAGUAUGACAAUUUAACAAAGACAGGAGAAACUGUACUAAUUUCUUAUUUCUAUGGUCUUAUUUUUACUGAUACUUUGAUAAUUGAUGCUUGAAAGAAUGGUGUACUUAUUAGUCUAAAAUUAGGUUUAGAGUGACAUCAAAAAGGUUUCCAUUUAUUUACAUUUACUUGCUUUUAUUCUUGUUGUACCACAAUCUAUUUCUGACUGUUCUGUUGUUCAGAAUGAAUUCAGUGAUUGAUACAGACUUCUUAAGGUGUUUGAAUGUCUGGACAGCAGUGGAUGGAUGUUUAGGUAGAAGGACCCACCACAAUCCUUCCACUACAAUCAUUCCACUUAUCCAUGGAAUGACUCUUACUAUUUUUACUGUCUGGAGUGCUUACAGUACUAGAAUAAAAUACUAAAUUAAUACCAAUAAAGAUUUAUCUGUGCAAGGUGACCUUAAUCUAAUGUAGAUAGAGCUAGUUUUCUAGCUCUAAGUAUCGUAUAUUUCAAAUUUUAAAAUUAAGUGGAAGGGAUUUGGGCAGUACAAAAUAAGAAAGAUCUGGUU